Long non-coding RNA from Pomacea canaliculata, 344 nucleotides. RefSeq lists it as uncharacterized. Lineage: Eukaryota; Metazoa; Mollusca; Gastropoda; Architaenioglossa; Ampullariidae. The transcript is spliced from 3 exons. The record is from RefSeq and is a predicted model, not a curated record.
GCCGUUUUAGUCCAAGAGGUGUUUUGAAGGCUACAUGACAGACAGAACACUGGUGAGGUUUCUCAUCACUGUGGGUCAUCAUGUGUGUUUUUAGGGUACCUGAUCUUUUGAAAGCUACAUGACAUAAAGUACACUGGAGUUCUGCAUAUAGCAACACUCAUUUCUUGACAAUUCCCAUCAAUGUUCUUCUGCCACAUUGCAUGCUGACCAGGCCAACCUGUCUCAGUCUUCACCAUACAUGACAGUUAUAUUCAGAUGACAAGAUAAGAUUUCAUAAAGGAACCAACUGCAGAUUCAUUAAACAACAGAAAGUGAAUUUUGUAAUGGCAGUAUGUGAAUAGGCA